RNAcentral lists this ribosomal RNA (253 nucleotides) under uncultured bacterium. RNAcentral's name for it is "partial 16S ribosomal RNA". It matches the Rfam family "Bacterial small subunit ribosomal RNA", at positions 524 to 776 of the family's 1533-position model. The record is from RNAcentral.
UACGUAGGGUGCAAGCGUUGUCCGGAAUUAUUGGGCGUAAAGAGCUCGUAGGCGGUUUGUCGCGUCGAAUGUGAAAACUCGGGGCUUAACCCCGAGCCUGCAGUGGAUACGGGCAGACUAGAGGUAGGUAGGGGAGAAUGGAAUUCCCGGUGUAGCGGUGAAAUGCGCAGAUAUCGGGAGGAACACCGGUGGCGAAGGCGGUUCUCUGGGCCUUACCUGACGCUGAGGAGCGAAAGCGUGGGGAGCGAACAGG